Austrofundulus limnaeus is the source of this 870-nucleotide long non-coding RNA. RefSeq lists it as uncharacterized. The transcript is spliced from 2 exons. NCBI's taxonomy places the organism in Eukaryota, Metazoa, Chordata, Actinopteri, Cyprinodontiformes, Rivulidae. The record is from RefSeq and is a predicted model, not a curated record.
UGACUGAAGCGCGAGACGCGCGUGCCACCGCGAGCCGCUCCAGUGCGUCAAGCUAACGAGAGUCACGCAGAGCGUCACCGGAACAAGGGACUGACCGGAUGCCACUGUGAUGGCGCAUCUUGGAGUUUGAUGAUGGAAACCGUGAGCGCUGUCUGGAGCCACACUGUUUGCAGAAACCGCGCACCAAGCGACUGGACACAUACACACACGCACGAAUGCGCGUGAGGGACAGUGGGCUGUUUGUGUAUUCAAUUACUUUACUGAAGAUGAAGAAGGCCUGGGUUUAUUUGCUUUUAAGCCUUCCUAAGGCAGGUUUUGUCAAAACCGAAACAGGUCUCCACUAAAAUAAAUUUGUAAAAAAAAUAGAAAAAAGGUCAUACUCCAUCUUUUUGCUUAUUUACCUUAAAACCCAACUAAAUUUUGUUCAAUCUGGUGAUUAGAAAGAGUGAAGAUAAACAAAAAUUUACCGUUUGGCAAAAUGAAUGCUUUAGCAAGAUUUUUUUCUCUCAAAUGCUGCAAUCAAAAUGAACAUUUAGCUUAAUAUUUCUGUCACUUAUUCUGACCUGCAUUCAUCAGUUUGAUGAAGGGUAGGCAGACAACCUAUUGUCAUCAAAACAGCCAAUCCAAUCAACUAUUUCAUAUUACGAGAACUCUUCUAGGUCACAGAUAAACCGAAAAAAUGCUGAGUUUGCUAUGAAAAUAUCACUGUAAUUGUGUGAAUUUAAUGAGCUCAAAAUGCUUAUUUAUAGCUAAAUCAGACCAAAUUAUCAAUUCUGUAGAAGACGGACUGGAAACAACUGUUGAAAAUGCAUUGUUGUUGUCCUUUUUUAAUCCACAUUUCAAAAUAAAAUCUACAUAUUUUGUCAUAUG